UUUAUUUCUUAGUAUCUGUGAUUAGUUACAGUUUAGAUGUUUUACAGUCUUCUGUUACUUAAUUUUUGUGAUUCUGAUAUUUAGUUUUUCAGUUUCUUCGUUCUUAUUUUAGCACAGUUUAUGUCUUAGUAACCUUGAUGAAUUCCACAGUGCCCUGAGAAAAUUCUGGUAAGAACAGUUACAAGCAGUGGCUGGUGCACACUGAGGCCUAAGUUGUUCAGAGACAUUGCUACAGCUGGGCAGAGCGGGAGUCUCCCCUCUCCAACCUGCUGGAAAUGCUCUUCCUGAGCCCCCCCUGGAUCCCUUUGUCCCUCCUGGCUGCAAGGACCACGAGUCCACUUGUGACCCACCAGGACCCCAGACCUCCUGCUCAGCAGAACUGGUGGCGAAGAGCUGGAUAAUUGAGUCCUCACACCUAACACAGUUUAAUCCCAUCAGCACUCAGCACUCAGAUGCCCAAGCUCCUGAAAUUCUGUAUUCAUCAACAUAGGAUGAGCUGCUUGGAAAUCCCUGUAAUAUCUGAAUGCACUGCCAAGAGGUGUCUGCAUGUCACAGUACCCAAAAAGCUUCAGAUUGCUCUCAAGGCUGGGGCACUGCUGCAGUUAGAUUGAAAUGAACUCUGCACUUCUGGAUGCCCAGCACCCCUCUGUGAGUGGAUAUCUAUAUGAAUGCUGAUGAUGACAUUUUCCACCCAUUCUCUAUCAUAACUCUGGGAUGCAGGAGAGUGUUCUCAUUCUCAUGGAAGUCAGCACCUGUGUAGUUCCUGUGUGUGGAGAAACAAUUAUUGGCUUAGACAAUUAACAAAGUA
Long non-coding RNA from Vidua chalybeata, 808 nucleotides. RefSeq lists it as uncharacterized. NCBI's taxonomy places the organism in Eukaryota, Metazoa, Chordata, Aves, Passeriformes, Viduidae. The transcript is spliced from 3 exons. The record is from RefSeq and is a predicted model, not a curated record.